Molecule: ribosomal RNA, 368 nt
Filed under: Androctonus amoreuxi
Lineage: Eukaryota; Metazoa; Arthropoda; Arachnida; Scorpiones; Buthidae
Description: partial 16S ribosomal RNA
Source: RNAcentral
UACAUAAUCAUUAGUCUUUUAAUUUGAGACUGGAAUGAAAGAGUAAACCGGGAGAACUUUUUUUCAGUUGAGAAAAUGAAUUUUACUUUUUAGUAAGAAGGCUAAAAUUUAACUUUUAGACAAGAAGACCCUAUAAAACUUUAUAUUUUUAUUUCUUAUUUGAAAGAGGAAGUAUUUCGCUGGGGCGGUGGAGGAAAACACUUCCUUUAAAAAAAUAAACUAUCUUGUUUAAAUACCUAGAAAUUCUAAAUUAGAAAUAAGUUACUUUAGGGAUAACAGCUUAAUUUACUUAGAAAGAUCAAAUUGACAAGUAAGUUUAUGACCUCGAUGUUGAAUUAAAAGACCCUUUUUUGUGCAAAAGCUUUAAA